Long non-coding RNA from Vespa crabro (European hornet), 887 nucleotides. RefSeq lists it as uncharacterized. The transcript is spliced from 3 exons. Lineage: Eukaryota; Metazoa; Arthropoda; Insecta; Hymenoptera; Vespidae. The record is from RefSeq and is a predicted model, not a curated record.
AUCGGUAUUGCUUUCGGUGUUCAUAUAUUUUUUAUAGUUCAACGCAAGUACUACCGAGCUAAUGGCUGACGUUUGAUACAUUAUAAAAUAUUGAUUAAUUAAUUAAUUAAUUCAUUCAUUCAUUCAUUAUAAAGUUGUACAAUGUAUAACAUUUUUGUUAAAAUAAUUUGUUCGUCACAUUAAUUAGAAUCAUAGUAUUGUGAAAAAUAUCGUAUAAUGGUCGAAAAUAUAAAUUAAAAAAUUCAUCCCUUUCAUCUAAUUAUCAGCCUGAAUGUAAAAUCUCGCUUGGAUACAAUCACAUAUCGAUCAACGAUUUCAUCGAUGCAACGAUAAUUACAAUCAAAUUUCACGACAUCGUUAGACCUACGUCAUCAGGGGGAAGGAGGUGUAGGACGAGUGUUUCGGAGCCAUCGCAGAACUUCUUAAGUAUAACGUCCUCGACUACUUUGAAUUCUUAUCGAGAAAUCAAUGAACGGACACACACGUGCGUGUUACGAUUGACAAGCCAGCUUUCCGAUGGUUAAAAGAAUUCAACGAUGAUGCUAACGUCGACCAAUUAAAAACGAAAGGAUCCGCGAGGAAAGGAAUCCGACUGGAAUGAUUUACGAUCUUGUGUGUUGCUCUCGAGUCAGCCCGAAGGCAUUUCGACCGGCAUGAUCGUCUUCCGAAUCACAAAAUGAUAUAUCCCAUUGCUAAGAGUAUUCGUAUAUAUCCGAUGAACUAGUUAUGCUAUAGAAUUAUAGUUUGAAACUUUCUAUCGAUCUUUUAGAAAUAGAAAUAGAAAAUGCAUCAUCCAUAUAUAUAUAUAUAUAUGUGUGUGUGUGUGUGUGUGUAUCAAAAAAUUAGUACGAAAGCUACUGAUAACAUAAUAUAUAUCUAUAAAUAUA